CCCUUAGAUGCUCUGGGCCGCACGCGCGCUACACUGGUCGAUGCAACGAGUUUCUUUCCUUGGCCGACAGGCCUGGGCAAUCUUUGAACAUCGAUCGUGAUCGGGAUAGAUUCUUGUAAUUUUUGAUCUUAAACGAGGAAUUCCUAGUAAACGCAAGUCAUCAGCUUGCAUUGAUUACGUCCCUGCCCUUUGUACACACCGCCCGUCGCUCCUACCGAUUGAAUGGUCCGGUGAAAUCUUCGGAUUGCUGGAUAGGACUUCAUUGACCUAUCUGCGAGAAGUUGCUUGAACCUUAUCAUUUAGAGGAAGGAGAAGUCGUAACA
Molecule: ribosomal RNA, 323 nt
Filed under: uncultured eukaryote
Lineage: Eukaryota
Description: partial 18S ribosomal RNA
Rfam family: Eukaryotic small subunit ribosomal RNA
Source: RNAcentral